UACGUAGGGGGCUAGCGUUGUCCGGAAUCAUUGGGCGUAAAGCGCGUGUAGGCGGCUCGGUAAGUCCGCUCUGAAAGUCCAGGGCUCAACCCUGGGAUGCGGGUGGAUACUGCCGGGCUCGAGUCCGGAAGAGGCGAGUGGAAUUCCCGGUGUAGCGGUGAAAUGCGCAGAUAUCAGGAAGAACACCAACGGCGAAGGCAGCUCGCUGGGACGGAACUGACGCUAAGGCGCGAAAGCGUGGGGAGCGAACAGG
RNAcentral lists this ribosomal RNA (253 nucleotides) under uncultured bacterium. RNAcentral's name for it is "partial 16S ribosomal RNA". It matches the Rfam family "Bacterial small subunit ribosomal RNA", at positions 524 to 776 of the family's 1533-position model. The record is from RNAcentral.